UACAGAGGGGGCAAGCGUUGUUCGGAAUUACUGGGCGUAAAGGGCGCGUAGGCGGCCCGCUAAGUCGAACGUGAAAUCCCCGAGCUCAACUCGGGAACUGCGUCCGAUACUGGCAGGCUCGAAUCCGGGAGAGGGAUGCGGAAUUCCAGGUGUAGCGGUGAAAUGCGUAGAUAUCUGGAGGAACACCGGUGGCGAAGGCGGCAUCCUGGACCGGCAUUGACGCUGAGGCGCGAAAGCCAGGGGAGCAAACGGG
This 253-nucleotide ribosomal RNA is filed under the name uncultured bacterium. RNAcentral's name for it is "partial 16S ribosomal RNA". It matches the Rfam family "Bacterial small subunit ribosomal RNA", at positions 524 to 776 of the family's 1533-position model. The record is from RNAcentral.